AUAACGACUCUCGGCAAUGGAUAUCUCGGCUCUCGCAUCGAUGAAGAACGUAGCGAAAUGCGAUACUUGGUGUGAAUUGCAGAAUCCCGUGAACCAUCGAGUCUUUGAACGCAAGUUGCGCCCCAAGCCGUUAGGCCGAGGGCACGUCUGCCUGGGUGUCACGC
Molecule: ribosomal RNA, 164 nt
Filed under: Ailanthus altissimus (tree-of-heaven)
Lineage: Eukaryota; Viridiplantae; Streptophyta; Magnoliopsida; Sapindales; Simaroubaceae
Description: 5.8S ribosomal RNA
Rfam family: 5.8S ribosomal RNA
About the family: 5.8S ribosomal RNA (5.8S rRNA) is a component of the large subunit of the eukaryotic ribosome. It is transcribed by RNA polymerase I as part of the 45S precursor that also contains 18S and 28S rRNA.
Source: RNAcentral